UAUCGGUAGGGUGCGAGCGUUUAAUCGGAAUUACUGGGCGUAAAGCGUGCGCAGGCGGUUCGUUGUGUCGGCGGUGAAAGCCCCGGGCUUAACCUGGGAAUGGCCGUUGAAACUGGCGAACUGGAGUGUGGCAGAGGGGGGGUGGAAUUCCACGUGUAGCAGUGAAAUGCGUAGAGAUGUGGAGGAACACCGAUGGCGAAGGCAGCCCCCCUGGGGUUAACACUGACGCUCAGGCACGAAAGCGUGGGGAGCAAACAGG
RNAcentral lists this ribosomal RNA (259 nucleotides) under uncultured bacterium. RNAcentral describes it as "partial 16S ribosomal RNA". It matches the Rfam family "Bacterial small subunit ribosomal RNA", at positions 522 to 776 of the family's 1533-position model. The record is from RNAcentral.